RNAcentral lists this ribosomal RNA (1474 nucleotides) under uncultured marine bacterium. RNAcentral describes it as "partial 16S ribosomal RNA". It matches the Rfam family "Bacterial small subunit ribosomal RNA". The record is from RNAcentral.
GAGUUUGAUCAUGGCUCAGAUUGAACGCUGGCGGUAGGCUUAACACAUGCAAGUCGUGCGAGAAAGUAUCUUCGGAUAUGAGUAGAGCGGCGGACGGGUGAGUAACGCGUAGGAAUCUACCUAGUAGAAGGGGAUAGCCCGGGGAAACUCGGAUUAAUACCGUAUACCUCCUUCGGGAGAAAGAAGGCCUCUCUUUGAAGCUUUCGCUAUUAGAUGAGCCUGCGUAAGAUUAGCUUGUUGGUGAGGUAAAGGCUCACCAAGGCGACGAUCUUUAGCGGGUCUGAGAGGACGAUCCGCCACAUUGGGACUGAGACACGGCCCAGACUCCUACGGGAGGCAGCAGUGGGGAAUAUUGGACAAUGGGGGCAACCCUGAUCCAGCGAUGCCGCGUGAGUGAUGAAGGCCCUAGGGUUGUAAAGCUCUUUUGUCAGGGAAGAUAAUGACGGUACCUGAAGAAUAAGAUCCGGCUAACUCCGUGCCAGCAGCCGCGGUAAUACGGAGGGAUCUAGCGUUAUUCGGAAUUACUGGGCGUAAAGCGAGCGUAGGCUGAUUUGUAAGUUGGAUGUGAAAUCCCAGAGCUUAACUCUGGAACUGCAUCCAAAACUAUAUUUCUUGAGUUUGGUAGAGGAGAGUGGAAUUCCUAGUGUAGAGGUGAAAUUCGUAGAUAUUAGGAGGAACACCAGUGGCGAAGGCGACUCUCUGGGCCAAUACUGACGCUGAGGUUCGAAAGCGUGGGUAGCGAACAGGAUUAGAUACCCUGGUAGUCCACGCAGUAAACGAUGAAUGCUAGAUGUUGGAAACAUUAGUUUUCAGUAUCGCAGCUAACGCAUUAAGCAUUCCGCCUGGGAAGUACGGCCGCGAGGCUAAAACUCAAAUGAAUUGACGGGGACCCGCACAAGCGGUGGAUCAUGUGGUUUAAUUCGAAGCAACGCGGAGAACCUUACCGGCCCUUGACAUACCAAUCGCGAACUUAAGAGAUUAAGUUUUUCACUUCGGGUGGAUUGGAUACAGGUGCUGCAUGGCUGUCGUCAGCUCGUGACGUGAGAUGUUGGGUUAAGUCCCGCAACGAGCGCAACCCCUACCUUCAAUUGCCAGCACGUUAUGGUGGGAACUUUGAAGGAACUGCCGGUGAUAAGCCGGAGGAAGGUGGGGAUGACGUCAAGUCCUCAUGGCCCUUACGGGCCGGGCUACACACGUGAUACAAUGGUAACUACAAAGAGCAGCGAUGGAGCAAUCUUCAGCAAAUCUCCAAAAGUUACCUCAGUUCGGAUUGUACUCUGCAACUCGAGUACAUGAAGUUGGAAUCGCUAGUAAUCGUAGAUCAGCGCGCUACGGUGAAUACGUUCCCGGGUCUUGUACACACCGCCCGUCACACCAUGGGAGUUGGUUUUACCUGAAGCUGGUUUGCUAACCGUAAGGAGGCAGCCAACCACGGUAGGAUUAGCGACUGGGGUGAAGUCGUAACAAGGUAACC